This 1137-nucleotide long non-coding RNA is filed under the name Fragaria vesca (wild strawberry). RNAcentral's name for it is "long non-coding RNA (FVES_LNC004648)". The record is from RNAcentral. Lineage: Eukaryota; Viridiplantae; Streptophyta; Magnoliopsida; Rosales; Rosaceae.
GUAUUCUUUUUCCAUGGUGAAUUUGAAAUUGGGUUCUGUGCUUCCGAUUUUUGGCAAUUUGAGAUAUGGGUAUUGAAUUGGAUUGUGACACCUUUUUUUUGGUGACAGAGAGGAGGAGGAUUUGGUAGCUUCUGAUAUUCCAGCCGGCUUCUCUUGUUCCUUCAAUUCCAGGUGAGAAAUAAAUUUUUGAAGCUUAAACUUGGUCUUUGGGUAAUUGGCAUAAGAUGAAUGGUUACCGACUUUAUACGGUUAGCUGUCACUGAUUUCAAAUUACACAACGAUCUGUAUAAGGGCCAAAAAAAGACAAUUUAGAUCACCAUGUUUUAUCAUUGAAGUUGCAUAGAGGUCACUGAUUUUCGAUUUAACAAAAGCAAUCACAAUCUUGAAGGUUUCAAUCCUUUGUGUUAGAUCAAGUUGAGUGAAAAAAAUCUUAUUUUAUUUGGUAUUUGGUUGGAUUUCUAUUUUUUUUUAGUUUGAUCAAGGAUAUCAAUCUUUUGGGUUAGUUCAAACUGUGGUUUUUGUGUGUUUGGUAUUUUCAUGUGCUUUAUUAUUGUGCAGGAAAAUAAAGGAGUGUGUUCUGAGUUAAGAGUAAAAGUUCAGUUGAUAUUAAUUUUUCCUCAAGAUCGACGACAUGAAUUGCUCGGUUAAGGUGUUUGUUCUUUUUUCCCCUUUUUCAGUUAAAUAUUUUGUUAAAAUUUUGAAACGAUGAAGGUAUCUGUUAUGUAUUUAGAUGUAUUAAAUCAAUUGGACUAUUUACUUAAAUAUCUCUAUCUCCAAAAAAAAACUGUGCUACGUUUUGCUUUUUGAUAAAUCGAUUAUCAUAAAUCUCAAAUAGGAAACCUUGUUAGUUUUGGAUUUCUUACCAUGGUGGUAGAAAUUAAAGGUCGGUUCUUAAAUUGGAAUGUAGGAAUUUUGAGCAUGAUCGUCUUUCUUCUGGUGUUUAACCUAGAAUAUGUAUUUUUGUAACCUGACCUCCUAGUCACAUGUCAGUGUACCCUUAAGUAUAUGGAAACUGAAGAAUGAGUACAAGUUUGACGGAUGGAGUACGAGUUUGAGUAUUGGAGUCACUCGAAUGUUUCCUUAACUUUGAUAAGUAUUUCGCUUCCUUUUACUUUAACUGUUUGGUUUGUUUUUCUG